UUAGAGUUUGAUCCUGGCUCAGGACGAACGCUGGCGGCGUGCCUAAUACAUGCAAGUCGAACGCUGCUUAAGAAGAAACUUCGGUUUUUUCUUAAGCGGAGUGGCGGACGGGUGAGUAACACGUGGGGAACCUAUCCAUCAGCGGGGGAUAACACUUGGAAACAGGUGCUAAUACCGCAUACGGCUUUUUUUCACCUGAAAGAAAGCUCAAAGGCGCUUUACAGCGUCACUGAUGGCUGGUCCCGCGGUGCAUUAGCCAGUUGGUGAGGUAACGGCUCACCAAAGCAACGAUGCAUAGCCGACCUGAGAGGGUGAUCGGCCACACGGGACUGAGACACGGCCCAGACG
RNAcentral lists this ribosomal RNA (348 nucleotides) under Tetragenococcus halophilus. RNAcentral's name for it is "bacterial SSU rRNA". It matches the Rfam family "Bacterial small subunit ribosomal RNA", at positions 1 to 337 of the family's 1533-position model. The record is from RNAcentral. Lineage: Bacteria; Bacillati; Bacillota; Bacilli; Lactobacillales; Enterococcaceae.